AAUCAACCAGUGUUGCAUUCGAUGUGUAAAGCCAAUAUCUCUAUUUUCUUUCUCUAGGGCCUACCGGUGGUCCAUUAUGGCCCUGGACUUGGGGACCGCUGCACUAUGGGCGGGGGGGGCAUUGCUCCUUGUCGGCGUGGUUUUAUGGAGGCAUGGACAAGAAAGAAAGAAAGAGAAGAGGAGGAGGGGAUAAGAAUCAGAGGAGGAGGAAAAGAGAGGUGAGAGGUUGCAGAUGAGUUGCAUGGCAUGGGAUAGUGAUGCUGCUGCAUAGGCUCCAUCGCUCCAUCCCUCCCUCGGAGAGAAUGGAAAAAACAAGGAGUGGUUAUGUGAUUCCCCACAUGCAGGGUGAGGAGCGCACAGUGGAGAAAAGGAAUAGCGGGGAGGGGGGCGUUUCCCUGCACAGCACAGUCUAUUAUCACUACACUUGAGCAUGGAUACGUUGUACAGCAUAUGGAGCGGCUUUUUCAGCUGACAUAAAGGUGGACGUGGCGCUCUUGGUGAGAACAGAAGACACGUCCACUUGAGUUGUCAUCAUCAGCAGCCCAGACAUGGACAGUUGGGAUGGAGGAAGAGGCAAGAUGCGAAGGGGAGAGAUGAGGCGAGAAGACUAGAGAAGUAUAGGUAAUGAGGGAGGCGUCAAGAUCUUGUCGAUGUGAUGGCCCUAGCUAGUUUUGGCACUUCUCGCAGAAUGACAGCAGGAUAGGAAGUAGACUAUCACCAGAGUCUGAGAGGUGAGGGGUUUUGUCAGUGGCAAAUGGGAACUUUUGAGGGGUGUCAGGUUCCCUGAAGUGCACCUUUGAUAGGUGAUUGGUUCAUGUGUGUGUGUGCGAAUGGAUAAACAAGCUGAUCCGAGGAUAACAAAGGGAUAAAAGGGUAAAUGCGGGGCAAAGAGAGGGAAGGGCAGCAGAGGGAUCACAAUGAUUAGAGAGGAAAGGUUAAGUGGAAAAGUGAGAGAUGAGAGGAAAAAAAGAAAAGAAAAGAGAGUGCAUCAAGUCAGGUUUGUAAACUAGUUUGUUUCCGGGGGGAACUGUCUGUGGUGCUGAUGUAACCCCACCAACCCGACAACUCCCACCCCCUCUUUUCCCAAUGAAUCUCCUUCUCCCUCAUUCUCUCCUCCUCAGCUAUUGACUGACAGCUACUGUGGCUCUAAUUGGCAAGUGUGGAUAGGGGAGAGUAGAGCUUAUUCUCCAUGGGACGGACCAAGGAAGAGAGAAAGAGAGUGUGUGUUGAGGUGGGGAGGAGAUGGGGGACGUAUCCAGGGAAGUGGUCCAACAAUAGUUGAGGGGAGAGGAGACAAAGCAAAGGAAGGAGGAAAUAGAUGGUCGAAUGGAGUCGUAAACAGUAUGAAGGAAGACAGCGGGUGAGGAGGGGAGGAUGGAGGUGAGGACUAAACAUCUGUUUGGUAAUCACUCUCUCCCCUCAGUGCAGUGUAACACAUACUGACACCUAUUUGAUAAUUGGUGAGCCUGCCCUCUCCCUCAGCGCUUGGCUAAAUGGUUGCUUGAUACUGGGGAGAGCACAGGGACUAGCUGUUGGCAGUGUAAUCUGUUUACUUGGUGCAGCUCAGGUAAAGACGCAUAGCAGGCUGCCUGCGUGUCUGUGUGUGGAUGUAUGCGUUGCUGUUGCUUACAGUCGGGUUAUCAGUCUAACAGUGUGCUCGAGAUGUGACUGCGUGUGUUAAAUGCGUAUUAUAACCUCAGAGCAAUGCCGCUCCCUUGUCAUUCAAGGAUAAAAAAUGAAAAAAAAAAUGAUCUCUUUUGUCUCUUUUAUCCCAGGUGCUGUCCUUAAAGAUGUGCCUCCACACAGACCUACUUCAACACUGCAAUCUUAUUCAGAGUGCAGGAGCUGAAGGGAAGCACACAGAAAAGGAAAGUGAGCUCCACAGUCGAGAGGAGAAAGAAAGUAAUAGAGGGGAGGAGGUGGGCAUUUCUGCUCCUGUCUCGACCACGGGUAUUCUUGGGUUGAUAAUACAGAUGUGGAUGUUAUUGCUUGAGAAUACGCGUAGUCGAGCGGAAGCUUUAUCAUCAGCACUGGACCAUAAACAGAACAUUGCUCAGAGCCCAGGCAGACACAUUUAAAUGUAUAGUCAAACUGAGGCAUUUGGUGAUUUUUAAUUAAGCACCCAGAGGUGACUUUUUAUGGCAAAGGCUUAUUUUGUUUAAUCAGAAAGGGUUUUUUUAUUUUUAAAUAGAAUCCAAUCAGGGCUAGCAGGAGCCCAAAUCCAAUCCAGCCAAUGAAAGGGUUUUAUCAUCGCAGUUUUAUCAACCAUGUCAACCCUUUACACCUGUGGAGGAAAUGAGUUUGUGUCAUUGGCUAGAUUCAGCCUCCCCUGCAGAGGUGCUGGUGGGAAAGACUUGUACCAUGCCACUAAGCUAAACCCCCAGGCAUUAGUUCAGGGAGCUUAACACAAAAGUCUUCAGACUUAGACGUUAAUUCCAAAUUCUUGAUUGCAUACCCUUGUCAUUCAGUCGUGCACACAAGUGAUCCUAUAAUCUUAUCAGUUGAUGGGUGUCUUUCACAGACCUUCACACUCUGCACUGAACAUUUUCCUGAAGCUGAGCAGAAAUUUCAAGUUAAAAGAAAAAAACUAGCCGUGUGUUCCUGGACUUCACAUCCCCCAGGCAAGGGGAUAAUAUAAUAUAUUAUAACUGUGCAUAAGCAUCGUACCGCUGCACUUGCAACCACUGUUGCAUUCCUAUUUUCAAAUCUUGCUAAAAAUGUGUGUUUGAUGCCUGUAGCAGCAACAGUAGACAGUACCACAUGAGGACAUGUCAAGGCUUGCACCCAUGGCUGACAUUUCAGCGUUCAGCUCAGCUGACUGGCUGUCACGAUGGAGAUCCAGACCCACAUUCGCGCAUACGCUCAAGUGCCUGAAUGGUCACAUAAUCUAGAUGCUGGUAGGAAAAUCGGGGAUUGAGGGAUCUCACAAAAAUAGGCAUAUAGAUAGAUCUCACAUAUAUGACUGCACUCACGGUGCAGCUAGUAGGUUCACUGGGUCCAUGUGCCAGUGAGGAAAUAAGGGAUUGACUGAUUUUAUGGUUAACUAUUUUUAGUCAGAAUGAUGGAUGUUUAUGUUCUUUAUUGAUCAAGCUGAGGUGUGGGUUUGAAAAAUUCCCGGACGUUUGGGCGUGCUGAUUAAUCAGGUAGCAGCUGUGUUCGAAUAAAACAUUUUACAUUUUGGGCGCAUUAGCAUUAUUGCUAAGUAUUAUAAAUUAGAAAAUCAGCAUUUCAUUGCAAAUUCAGCAAUACAUUAGCAUCUGGUUAUGUCCGUGAUAAAUUACACCCUUAUCAUUCACACGAUUUCUUACUACUGUGUAAGCAAAUCUCUUAAGAGUGUGUAAUUAUAAUUUAUACAAAUUUCACUCCGAGGUUGCAUAAACUUGUUGAUUGGGCAAAGCCAUUUCUGCGGCUUGGCGUGUAUUUGUGUGUGUGCUUCUAAGCAACAAAAUGACUAUUGUGAGCACAGCUCCAGGUGCCUAGCAACCAAAUCGCUCUGUUUCCUUGGCAACAGUUGCCUUGCACUCACUGUGUGGGUGAUUGGCAGCCUUGACAACGGAGACGGAGUGACACUUGACCUCGCGUGCUGAAUGGGAGAGGAGAAAGAAGAAGCGAGAAAUAGAAGAGAGGGGGAGGCAGUGGGAGGGGACGUGCAGAGACAGAGAAGAGACUAAGUGAUAAUCAUUCUCCAUUGUAAUCAUCCUCCAGCAUGUUUCAUAAGGCGUCGUCAAUACCUCUCCAGCUGGGGUCCAUCAUCAAACACAAUACACAGUACAGUGCUCGCAUGCAUGGACACACUCUUCCUGGGUGGAGAGCCCAGGCAGGCACUCCACAUCUCAUCUAUUAUCACUCAGCCCUGCCUGGUGCACAACCUUGCUACACUGUGUCUUCUUUCAUUUGUGAUCUGCUACAUCCUCCGCUCUGUGGGGAUGAAUGGAUACUGGACUCCUAAAAUGCGUCACGGUCACAAAUGCCACAAGACAGUAGAUAAGGAGCUGCACACAGAGACGUUUAAUUUGAAAUAGGUGCCAUCGUUGUCUUUGGGACAUUUAAAUUGCUGUAAUUAAUUAAAUCAGCGUUUUGGUUUUCUCCAUCUUCAUUGUGCUGUGCGGGAUUUUCUAUUUAUCAGAAAUCGUAUUUUUGACUCUGUGUUUAAGGAUAUCAAAGGAUCAAAACUGCACAAACUCAAAAAAACCUUAUUUCGCUUUUAGCGCGAAACAUACUGUACAAUGCAAACCCAGUUUUAUAAAGGCUUUGUAAAGUUGUGUAAAGGGCCAAUUAAAAAUGAAAUGCAAUUAUUUGAUGAUCAUAAUGGUACCAACACUUUUCAAAAAAGCUGCAACAAGGUGCUGUUUGCUGCUGUUGUAUUUUUUUUAAACAGCUCUCUGUAAACAUUUGGGACCGAGGAGACCAAAUGCUGCAUUUUUGAAAGCAGGGUGUUUUACAUUACUUGCUUACAUUAAGAUUUUAGCUGCUCAGCAAAUACAGGCUUCUUUUUUUUAUUUUUCUUUGUUUCAUAGUGUGCCAAAUGUUUAUAGUAGGUGACAGCUCUGGACUGCAGGCAGUUCUAGCACCAGGACUCUGUUAUUACACAGCAUUGCAGUUAUAAUACAUAUUGAAUGUGGUCUGGCAUUGUCUUGCUGAAAUAAAACAAGGCUUUCCCUGACAAGAUGUUGUCUGGAUUGAAGCAUAUGUUGCUCACUAUUAAUGGCACCUUAACAGAUGUCAUUCGCAGAAACGCCUUCCCUUUGGAUUGCAUGCUAAUCACAAAUCAGAUCACAUCCCUCUCCUCUUACCCAAGAUGAUUUUUUAAAUGUUUUUUUUUAUCCUUUUUUUCACAUGGUAGUUUUAACCCCCAUUUGUGGGUGGAGUGAUUAACUAUAUUUCCUAAUGAUGGUUUCCUAAAAUUAGCUGUGCCCAUUGUGUAUACACUUUUCUGUGGAUGCUCUUAAUGAUAUCAUGUACCAUGAAUUAUGAAAAUCCUGAAAUGAUUUGUCCUGUGCAUUCUGCGACAGUGUGGUGAACUCCCUGUGUUUGCUUCUGAGAUGCUAAUUGUAACCAUUCAUGUUACUAAUUAACCUCAUGAGCACUGACGCGUAAUUAAUAUUUAUGCAGUGAUUCUAUGUAAAGCCUAUGGUGUAGCAUAUGCAAGGUGCCGACGCCCUUUCCAGCAUUUAUAUCUUUAAAUAAGUGUUUGCCAUUAUGCUGUACAUACGGUGUGGAUUAAACACACGAGUAUACGACCGCUGUGAAACUGUGCAAAACACAUGUUGCUGCUGUCCAGUUCAAAAAAAUAAAAGUUUUAAUUUUCAUCAUUCUGUUGUCUUUGUACCAUUUUUAAUUAAUAUUGGCUUUCAAAUUAUUUCAAAGAUAAUAAUUUGAAAUUAUAAGACAGCCUUAUAAAUAAAAAAUUUAAUGUUUUUUAAUGAUGCGGGGAAACAUCUUUCAAUCAUUCAACCUUUCAAGGAAGCAAAUCUCUUAUAAUUGUGCUUAUAUACACAAACACACAUAAAUCUGACCUGAUAUUCAUCAAAGUCUUCACUCAGUCAUGCUGGUUAUCAUUUUACGUUUCUGUUAUUCUGUUGGAAUAUUUUAAUAUCGCAUAAAAUAUAUAAGGUGGCAAGCCUAAUUACUUUUUUAACAAUUCUUAGUAAAAACUAAUUAAGUCAUCUGUCUGUUUGUAGAGCCACCGAUUGCCGUAAAAAUGUUACAAAAAAAUAAUCACGUUAAUAAGCCAGACUUUAACAGGGUUGUGUGUUUUUUCUCAUUAAGAUCUGGACAAUGUGGUUUAUUUGGAGGCAAGCCCACACACACACAUUCUUGCUUCCAUAAAUACUUAUUAGCACCCCAAGUGUUUAUGAACAUGUGGGUGAAAACCAUCUUAACAAAUCCAAGAAUUUGUUUUUGUAAUAUUUACUAAGCUACAGUAGCAUGCUGUUUCUAGAAUUUACAGAGUAUUUCUGCAAAAUGAAACUGCUUCUUCCCAUUAAGCGGCAGACGCGAGAUCAACAGGACAGGUAAGUCAGAAAACAUAACAUCAUACUGCUUGGAUUUGGAAUUUUCAUCAGAUUUGUGGAGCGUAAAGAAAAAUUUAAUAAUGAUGGGGUUACCCUUAAGUCUCUACCACAGGAUCAAAAUCAAACAUAUCCAUUAAGUAAACAUUAAACAGAACAGCUCUGAUUCAUGAUACCCAAAACAGAUGGCUGUGUAGGAGAGUGUCAUUGAGCAUAAACUACUGACUUCAAGGCAUCGAAAUACUGUACAUUACUGCAUAUACAUGCCCAUUAAAAGAACAUUUAUGCUUCUUAAAAUUAUUUUAUUUCAUGAACAUAUAACCUGAAGACAUCACAAACAGAGAAACUGAAUGGAUUAAAAACAUUUUAAAACUCAUGAACUCAGCAGCUCAGCGUGAAUCUUGAACAUCUUGUUCCUCUCCAGAGUGGAAUGACCUAAUGCUGUGACACAGAUGUCUGAGUGAUUGCAUUAUGACCAGAAUCUGUAACAUCAUACUUAAAUCUGAGUAAUCAUUAUAGAUUACACACACACAUACACACAAAGCUCAUGAUUAGCUAUUUCAGUGACAUUUUCCAGCACUGCAGUUGGACUGAACAAACAUCCGGCUCAAGAUUCCUCAUACCCAGAGUGUAUAAAUCAUAAAAAAAGACCAUUUUUACUCUUCAACUAGAUCGUGUUGCUUGUGUCAGACUGUGAAAAACUGUAGGAAUAAUACUCAAGUGUUGUCCAUUUUAAAAUCAACCUACUCACCAUAUUCAUAGUUUCUUUCAUGAUACAAAUAUUCAUAUUAAAAUAUUCAAAUGCUAAGAUGUGGAUAUGUUCGCUUGCAUAAUCUUUUGUAUUUCUUAGAUAGCUCUAGCAGUUAGAAACUAAAUACCUGGAAGCAUUUUUUCAAUGCAAAAUACUUUAUUUUAAAAGAAUGGACCUAGAUGAUCACCAGUAAGGUCCCCCCCACCCCCAAAAA
Oreochromis niloticus (Nile tilapia) is the source of this 6976-nucleotide long non-coding RNA. RefSeq lists it as uncharacterized. The record is from RefSeq and is a predicted model, not a curated record. NCBI's taxonomy places the organism in Eukaryota, Metazoa, Chordata, Actinopteri, Cichliformes, Cichlidae. The transcript is spliced from 2 exons.